UUGAACUAACAGAACUCAGAAAC
Molecule: non-coding RNA, 23 nt
Filed under: Cricetulus griseus (Chinese hamster)
Lineage: Eukaryota; Metazoa; Chordata; Mammalia; Rodentia; Cricetidae
Source: RNAcentral